GGAGUUAGCCGGUGCUUCUUCUGUGAGUGAUGUCCUUCCUGCCGGCUAUUAACCCGCAGGCCUUCUUCCUCACUGAAAGUGCUUUACAACCCGAAGGCCUUCUUCACACACGCGGCAUGGCUGGAUCAGGGUUGCCCCCAUUGUCCAAUAUUCCCCACUGCUGCCUCCCGUAGGAGUCUGGGCCGUGUCUCAGUCCCAGUGUGGCUGAUCAUCCUCUCAGACCAGCUACGGAUCGUCGCCUUGGUGAGCCGUUACCUCACCAACCAGCUAAUCCGACAUAGGCUCAUCCGAUAGCGCGAGGCCCGAAGGUCCCCCGCUUUCCCCCGUAGGGCGUAUGCGGUAUUAGCCUGGGUUUCCCCAGGUUAUCCCCCACUACCGGGCAGAUUCCUAUGCAUUACUCACCCGUCCGCCGCUCGCCACCAGGGAGCAAGCUCCCCGUGCUGCCGCUCGACUUGCAUGUGUUAGGCCUGCCGCCAGCGUUCAAUCUGAGCCAUAAUCAAACUCU
Molecule: ribosomal RNA, 505 nt
Filed under: uncultured bacterium
Lineage: Bacteria
Description: partial 16S ribosomal RNA
Source: RNAcentral